This is a long non-coding RNA of Prunus avium (sweet cherry), 853 nucleotides long. RefSeq lists it as uncharacterized. The record is from RefSeq and is a predicted model, not a curated record. NCBI's taxonomy places the organism in Eukaryota, Viridiplantae, Streptophyta, Magnoliopsida, Rosales, Rosaceae.
UUUAAAUAUUUUUUUUAAAAAAUCAGAUCAUAUCGAGAGACCUAUGAGAAACUUGACCGCACAAGAAUUGUACUAUGGUAGCAAAAACGCUUGUGGAACCCAGAUCGGUGGCAUCAUCGGAAAGUCAAGUAGUGUGAACAAGCAGCUACGACAGGCCACAGGGGCCAAGAUCCGAAUGGAAGAAGCCCAAGUCAAGUCGCCGGACCGGGUAGUGGUGGUCGUCGCUCCCAGUGCAAUCCGUUCCAAGAUUUGGUUGAGAACUACAGGCCUCGAAAAUGUUAAUGGUGGGGGGGAAGAGGAGAUUGAGGUGGGGUGGUUUCGUGCCGGUUUCUGGCGGAGGUAGCGCCGGUCGGGUCGGUGAUAGGGAAGGGCGGUAAGGUGGUGGAGAAGAUUAGGAAAGAGAUUGAUUGUAAAAUUAGGGUUUCGAAUGAGAAAUUGCCGGCUUGUGCAGUUUCUACGGACGAGAUGGUCGAGGUGGUCAUUGAUUGGGCCGGGAGAUACCUUCACCAGAUGGAAAGGCCAUUAGAUGUGCUAUUCAAACAGACGCUGGUGAAUAAAGGGCAAUGGAGUUGAUCCCCUGCAGAAGGUGGCAGGCGACGAGAUUCCGGCGGUGGUGGCUGGCGGCGGGAUUCCUGCGGUGGUGGCCGGCGGCGAGAUUCCAGCGGUGGUGGUUGGAUAGAUAUGGACAUGUGGCAUAGUAUGCUUGCUUUAGGAGUGGCAUUGUGUGUAAUUUUGAUAUUUUUUAAUGAUAUUUUUGUAAAUUAGGUACCAUAUUUUGGUCUUUGGCCUUAUGCUAAUUAGAUGAAAUUGUAUUCCUAUCUUCCAAAUUAGUAAACUAUAUUGUGUUUUAAAA